UCCUGGGAGGAUUGACAGAUUGAAAGCACUUUCUUGAUUCGGUGGAUGGUGGUGCAUGUCCGAUCUUAGUUGGUGGAGCGAUUUGUCUGGUUAAUUCUGAUAACAAACGAGACUCUAUCCUAUUAGAUAGGUGCGUGGUUCUCUGCAAAUUACAGACUUAGAGGGACAAGCAGCUCCUAGUCGUACGAAAAAAGAGCAAAAACAGGUCUGUGAUGUCCUUACAU
Molecule: ribosomal RNA, 224 nt
Filed under: Ixodes scapularis (black-legged tick)
Lineage: Eukaryota; Metazoa; Arthropoda; Arachnida; Ixodida; Ixodidae
Description: eukaryotic small subunit ribosomal RNA
Rfam family: Eukaryotic small subunit ribosomal RNA
Source: RNAcentral